RNAcentral lists this ribosomal RNA (258 nucleotides) under uncultured prokaryote. Its description in RNAcentral is "partial 16S ribosomal RNA". It matches the Rfam family "Bacterial small subunit ribosomal RNA", at positions 524 to 782 of the family's 1533-position model. The record is from RNAcentral.
UACGGAGGAUCCGAGCGUUAUCCGGAAUUAUUGGGUUUAAAGGGUGCGUAGGCGGCCAUUUAAGUCAGCGGUGAAAUUUUGCAGCUUAACUGUAACAGUGCCGUUGAUACUGUUGGCUAGGAUUUGGUUGUAGUGUGCGGAAUGUGUGGUGUAGCGGUGAAAUGCUUAGAUAUCACACAGAACACCGAUUGCGAAGGCAGCACACUAAGUCAUUAUUGACGCUGAGGCACGAAAGUGUGGGGAUCAAACAGGAUUAGA